RNAcentral lists this non-coding RNA (166 nucleotides) under bovine gut metagenome. RNAcentral's name for it is "Lysine riboswitch". It matches the Rfam family "Lysine riboswitch aptamer". Rfam says of the family: Riboswitches are metabolite binding domains within certain messenger RNAs that serve as precision sensors for their corresponding targets. The record is from RNAcentral.
UCGAUAGAGGCGCGGGGAGCAUCAGUAUCGCCGUCGAGUCCGCCGAGGGGCUUUGACGCGGCGCGAAAGGGAUUCCCGCCGAAAUCUGCGGGCUUCGGCAGCUCGGGGGUUGGUGAGGCGCGAAAUACGCGGUUCACUGUCACAAUGAUAUUGUGGAGCGCUAUCU